GUUCCGAAUGAAACAUUUUUACUUCAAUUUGCUUUCAAGCAGAUAUUCCGAUUUCCAUGACCCAUUUACUUCAAUGAAUUGACAUUUCUUCAUUUCAGUAUCAAAUGCUUUGGCUUGGUUUUAGUAAUAAUGUAAAAGCAGUUCUAACCCGCGGUGUCAGUAUUUCAAGAUAUUUUUCAAAUGUAUAACUACGUGUUCACUCAUGAAACAGCUAUUUCCAUAAACAUAUAAUUCAUAAACAUACACUUUUUCACAUUUGGAAUAUGAUCCACACGUGAUCAGUUGCCACUCGGAAUCAUAACUUCCGACUAUUAAGGUUAGGUCCGAAAAAAUCAAUGGAAUAUUUGAUUUUUUAAGUCUAUACGGUACUACAUUACAUAUUAUUCUCGCCUCUGGAAAUAGUUUUAUGCAUGUAUCAUUAGAUUGAAAAACAUCUUCCAUAUCCGCCGGGGACAUUAUACG
This 462-nucleotide long non-coding RNA is filed under the name Mytilus galloprovincialis (Mediterranean mussel). The record is from RNAcentral. Lineage: Eukaryota; Metazoa; Mollusca; Bivalvia; Mytilida; Mytilidae.